RNAcentral lists this ribosomal RNA (245 nucleotides) under uncultured bacterium. Its description in RNAcentral is "partial 16S ribosomal RNA". It matches the Rfam family "Bacterial small subunit ribosomal RNA", at positions 524 to 768 of the family's 1533-position model. The record is from RNAcentral.
UACGUAGGCAGCAAGCGUUGUUCGGAAUUACUGGGCGUAAAGAGUGCGUAGGCGGUUUGGCAAGUUUGGUGUGAAAUCUCCCGGCUUAACUGGGAGGGUGCGCCGAAAACUGCCAAGCUAGAGUAUGGGAGAGGAAAGUGGAAUUCCUGGUGUAGCGGUGAAAUGCGUAGAUAUCAGGAGGAACACCUGCGGUGUAGACGGCUUUCUGGACCAUUACUGACGCUGAGGCACGAAAGCGUGGGGAG